GCCCGGUUAGCUCAAUCGGUAGAGCGUGAGACUCUUAAUCUCAAGGUUGCGGGUAAGUUACUCUCGAUCUGAGAUUAUUCACGCAAUUAUAUACUAACAUCAUCUCAAGGUUCGACCCCCGCAUCGGGCU
RNAcentral lists this transfer RNA (130 nucleotides) under Daldinia vernicosa. RNAcentral's name for it is "tRNA-Lys". It matches the Rfam family "tRNA". Rfam says of the family: Transfer RNA (tRNA) molecules are approximately 80 nucleotides in length. Their secondary structure includes four short double-helical elements and three loops (D, anti-codon, and T loops). Further hydrogen bonds mediate the characteristic L-shaped molecular structure. tRNAs have two regions of fundamental functional importance: the anti-codon, which is responsible for specific mRNA codon recognition, and the 3' end, to which the tRNAs corresponding amino acid is attached (by aminoacyl-tRNA synthetases). tRNAs cope with the degeneracy of the genetic code in two manners: having more than one tRNA (with a specific anti-codon) for a particular amino acid; and 'wobble' base-pairing, i.e. permitting non-standard base-pairing at the 3rd anti-codon position. The record is from RNAcentral. Lineage: Eukaryota; Fungi; Ascomycota; Sordariomycetes; Xylariales; Hypoxylaceae.